This 492-nucleotide ribosomal RNA is filed under the name uncultured bacterium. RNAcentral describes it as "partial 16S ribosomal RNA". It matches the Rfam family "Bacterial small subunit ribosomal RNA", at positions 29 to 507 of the family's 1533-position model. The record is from RNAcentral.
AGUGAACGCUGGCGGUAGGCCUAACACAUGCAAGUCGAACGGCAGCACAGUAAGAGCUUGCUCUUACGGGUGGCGAGUGGCGGACGGGUGAGGAAUACAUCGGAAUCUACUUUUUCGUGGGGGAUAACGUAGGGAAACUUACGCUAAUACCGCAUACGACCUACGGGUGAAAGCAGGGGAUCUUCGGACCUUGCGCGAUUGAAUGAGCCGAUGUCGGAUUAGCUAGUUGGCGGGGUAAAGGCCCACCAAGGCGACGAUCCGUAGCCGGUCUGAGAGGAUGAUCAGCCACACUGGAACUGAGACACGGUCCAGACUCCUACGGGAGGCAGCAGUGGGGAAUAUUGGACAAUGGGCGCAAGCCUGAUCCAGCCAUACCGCGUGGGUGAAGAAGGCCUUCGGGUUGUAAAGCCCUUUUGUUGGGAAAGAAAAGCAGCAGGUUAAUACCCCGCUGUUCUGACGGUACCCAAAGAAUAAGCACCGGCUAACUUCAUG